AUUGAACGCUGACGGCAUGCUUUACACAUGCAAGUCGAACGGCAGCGCGGGCUUCGGCCUGGCGGCGAGUGGCGAACGGGUGAGUAAUACAUCGGAACGUGCCCAGUAGUGGGGGAUAGCUCGGCGAAAGCCGGAUUAAUACCGCAUACGACCUGAGGGUGAAAGCGGGGGAUCUUCGGACCUCGCGCUAUUGGAGCGGCCGAUGGCAGAUUAGCUAGUUGGUGGGGUAAAGGCCUACCAAGGCGACGAUCUGUAGCUGGUCUGAGAGGACGACCAGCCACACUGGGACUGAGACACGGCCCAGACUCCUACGGGAGGCAGCAGUGGGGAAUUUUGGACAAAGGGCGAAAGCCUGAUCCAGCAAUGCCGCGUGUGUGAUGAAGGCCUUCGGGUUGUAAAGCACUUUUGGCGGGAACGAAAAGGACUGUGCCAAUACCACGGUUCGAUGACGGUACCCGCAGAAUAAGCACCGGCUAACUACGUG
This 484-nucleotide ribosomal RNA is filed under the name uncultured bacterium. RNAcentral's name for it is "partial 16S ribosomal RNA". It matches the Rfam family "Bacterial small subunit ribosomal RNA", at positions 29 to 507 of the family's 1533-position model. The record is from RNAcentral.